CCGAAGGGGCAUGCCUGUUUGAGUAUCAUGAACACCUCAACUCUCACGGCUUGCAUGAUGAGCUUGGACUUUGGGGGUCUUGUUGGCCUGUGAGCCAGCUCCUCUUAAAUGAAUCAGCUUGCCAGUGUCUGAUGGCAUCGUGAGUGUGAUAACUAUCUACGCUUGUGGUCGUCUGCCAGGUAACCUCAGCGAUGGAGGUUCGCUGGGGCUUAUAAAUGUCUCUCCUCAGUGAAGACAGCUUUUUUGAACGUUCGAUCUCAAAUCAGGUAGGACUACCCGCUGAACUUAAGCAUAUCAAUAAGCGGAGG
RNAcentral lists this ribosomal RNA (308 nucleotides) under uncultured Tomentella. Its description in RNAcentral is "eukaryotic LSU rRNA". The stretch from base 253 to 308 matches the Rfam family "Eukaryotic large subunit ribosomal RNA", at positions 1 to 56 of the family's 3401-position model. Lineage: Eukaryota; Fungi; Basidiomycota; Agaricomycetes; Thelephorales; Thelephoraceae. The record is from RNAcentral.